CUACAUGCUCUUCCUACAACAUGAAUUUGACAUUCCUUCCAUUGAGUGGUUGGUUCUAUAAUGUACAUCACUUUGAGCCUGGAAGAAUAGAGACUGUGUAAGUUCAAGUGAAGAUAUAUGAGUUUGGAAGUUAGAUCAUAAAAGAUGCUGUAGUUCCUUCUUGAUUCUCUUUCGAUGCUUCCUCUUGGAACUUAGCUACUCUGUUGCAAAGGAGUCAAAACUAGCCCACAUGGAGAGGUCACUUGUGGGUUUUCCAGCCAAUAGUCCAGUGGAGCAGCUCCUAGUCAACAACCAGCAUCAACUGCCAAAUAUGAAUCUUUUGUUAUCAGCAGGCUCUGCAAAGAUUAUGAAUCCUGUCUCCUGCUGAAUGUCCAUCCCAUUAGAAACUCUGUUUCACUGUGCUUUUAUCUGCUUUAGACUCUUCCAGAUCUCUACAGUUGGGUUGAAAAUAGUAAUAGACAAAAGCCCUGGGAAGGAUUCACCCCUCAGCUCAACAGAGCAGAGAAAAAAUAGGGAGAGGAGGAUUUUCUUGUGCCAGAGUCACCAUUUCCAUGGCUCAGUAGGUUCUCAUUUGUCAUCAGCCUAUCAGUCCAUAUGCCCUGGCGUGGAGGACCCUCUGUUCCUAGGACCUGUUUCACGGAUGUAUGACCAGUGCAGGCACUUGGAGUUUAAUGCUCUGCAGUGGCCAGUGAAAUUCUUCAUGCUUUAGUCUUAGUGUUUGUGCUCUGGGGGUGAAGUCUGAUGGGACAAUGAAGUCAGAGCCAGGGCCUUGGAACCUUGGUUCAGGGAAAGUCUUGCCAUCUGCCGUGCCUGUACCUCCCCAGGACAGAUGCUCAGGCACCUGCUCUCCUGCUCUUCCCAGCAGCUGCC
Long non-coding RNA from Lutra lutra (Eurasian river otter), 870 nucleotides. RefSeq lists it as uncharacterized. The transcript has 3 exons. The record is from RefSeq and is a predicted model, not a curated record. NCBI's taxonomy places the organism in Eukaryota, Metazoa, Chordata, Mammalia, Carnivora, Mustelidae.